GUCGUUAACUUUUACAAAAAUCUUCUCCUCUGAAACUACUGGGCCAAAUUACACCAAACUUGGCCAAAAUCAUCAUUGGGGUAUCUAGUUUAAAAAAUGUGUCCGGUGACCCGGCCAACCAUCCAAGAUGGCCGCCAUGGCUAAAAAUAGAACAUAGGGGUAAAAUGCAGUUUUUGGCUUAUAACUCAAAAACCAAAGCAUUUAGAGCAAAUCUGACAUGGGGUAAACUUGUGUAACAGGUCAAGAUCUAUCUGCCCUGAAAUUUUCAGAUAAAUCGGAUAACCUGUUGUUGGGUUGCUGCCCCUGAAUUAGUAAUUUUAAGGAAAUUUUGCUGUUUUUGGUUAUUAUCUUGAAUAUUAUUAUAGAUAGAGAUAAACUGUAAACAGCAAUAAUGUUCAGCAAAGUAAUAUUUACAAAUAAGUCAACAUGACCGAAAUGGUCAGUUGACCCCUUUAGGAGUUAUUGCCCUUUAUAGUCAAUUUUUAACCAUUUUUCGUAAAUCUUAGUAAUCUUUUACAAAAAUCUUCUCCUCUGAAACUACUUGGCCAAAUCAAUCCAAACUUGGCCACAACCAUCUUUGGGGUAUGUAGUUUGAAAAAUGUGUCCAGUGACCCAGCCAUCCAAUCAAGAUGGCCGCCAUGGCUAAAAAUAGAACCUUGGGUAAAAUGCAGUUUUUGGCUUAUAACUCAAAAAACCAAAGCAUUUAGAGUAAAUCUGACAUGAGGUAAAUUUGUUUAUCAGGUCAAGAUCUACCUGCCCUGAAAUUUUCAGAUGAAUUGGACAACCCGGUUUUGGGUUGCUGCCCCAGAAUAAGUAAUUUUAAUGAAAUUUUGCUGUUUUUGGUUAUUAUCUUGAAUAUUAUUAUAGAUAGAGAUAAACUGUAAACAGCAAUAAUGUUCAGCAAAAAAAGAUUUACAAAUAAGUCAACAUGACCGAAAUGGUCAGUUGACCCCUUUAGGAGUUAUUGCCCUUAAUAGUCAAUUUUUAACCAUUUUUCGUAAAUCUUAGUAAUCUUUUACAUCUUCUCCUCUGAAACUACUUGGCCAAAUUACACCAAACUUGGCCAAAAUCAUCAUUGGGGUAUCUUGUUUAAAAAAUGUGUCCGGUGACCCGGCCAACCAUCCAAGAUGGCCGCCAUGGCUAAAAAUAGAACAUAGGGGUAAAAUGCAGUUUUGGGCUUAUAACUCAAAAACCAAAGCAUUUAGAGCAAAUCUGACAAGGGGUAAAAUUGUGUAACAGGUCAAGAUCUAUCUGCCCUGAAAUUUUCAGAUAAAUCGGAUAACCUGUUGUUGGGUUGCUGCCCCUGAAUUAGUAAUUUUAAGGAAAUUUUGCUGUUUUUGGUUAUUAUCUUGAAUAUUGUUAUAGAUAGAGAUAACUUGUAAACAGCAAUAAUGUUCAGCUAAAGUAAGAUCUAGAAAUAAGUCAACAUGACCAAAAUCGUCAGUUGACCCCUUAAGGAGUUGUUGCCCAUUUUAUUCAAUUUUUAACAAUUUUCACUAAUUUGGUAAAUUUUUGUAAAUUUUUACAAAAUAUUUUUCACUGUAUCUAAAGGUCCAAGUUUAUUAUAGAUAGAGAAAAUUCUAAGUACCAAGAAUGUUCAGUAAAGUAAGAUCUACAAACACAUCACUAUCAGCAAAACACAAUUUUGUCAUGAAUCCAUCUGUGUCCUUUGUUUAAUAUGCACAUAGACCAAGGUGAGCGACACAGGCUCUUUAGAGCCUCUAGUUAUUUUUUACUCUGUU
RNAcentral lists this long non-coding RNA (1742 nucleotides) under Mytilus galloprovincialis (Mediterranean mussel). The record is from RNAcentral. Lineage: Eukaryota; Metazoa; Mollusca; Bivalvia; Mytilida; Mytilidae.